Molecule: long non-coding RNA, 853 nt
Filed under: Meleagris gallopavo (turkey)
Lineage: Eukaryota; Metazoa; Chordata; Aves; Galliformes; Phasianidae
Description: lncRNA (ENSMGAG00000022239.1)
Source: RNAcentral
CUCCAGGGCUCCCUGCAGCACUCUCAAAUGAGGUUUGCCACUCUUGGGAGCAACAGACACAUGUCUGUGGCCUCUGCUCACUUGUGUCUAUCCCGAUGCAGGACUCCGACAUGAUGAAUAUGAUUGCGUUUAGAGGCAAAAACAAAUUUACUCGAUGCAGUGAGGAAGGCUGUAUCAUACUGCCAAGGUGAGCACAACCAUUCCUGCAGCAUCCAGUCGGCCAAGGAAGCAGUUGCUCAGCUCAUGCUUUGUGGCAGCUUCUUGCCGAGGCCUCUCUCCUGGCAAUGUUGUUGUUAGGCAAGAGCAGCCCUUCUCUGGCAGAGCUCCCAUUUGGCCCAUGGCUCGAUCCACCCAGACAUAGCAGUCUAAUGGGGCCGGUCUGUGGCCGUGGGCCCUGAGUGAGAGAGGGGGGAGGAGGGUGUGUGGACAGCGAGGAGGAUCCCCCUGUUAAGGGCUAGGCGACAGAAGUUUGGGGGCUGAAGUUGAUGGAGAAUGGAGGGCCCCUCAGCUCCCACAGAGAGUCCUCCAAGGGCUUGGCACUGGCUCCCAAGGAGCCCUGCCAGCAGUUUCUCUGUGUCAGACACUGAGGAAGCUUGGUGGCCUUCUUGCCCACUGGUGUCUUCUUGUUUCCAGAAUUGUAGUUGAGGGCUCGAAGACAUAUGAAGGCACAACUUCCCUCAAGCCCCGAAGAGAGUCGCAGCCAUGGGGCGAAGGUGCCCGUAGAGUGAGCGUGUAUGAUCCGGUGAUGCUGGCUCGGCGCAGGGCAUCGCAAGUCAUGAUGUCACAGAAAAGACGCAAGGAGCUAGAGAAGAAAAAGCAAAGGGUUAAAUUCAGGUGAGCCUCCUGGAGAAGU